AGCGAACGCUGGCGGCAGGCCUAACACAUGCAAGUCGAACGAACCUUUCGGGGUUAGUGGUGGACGGGUGAGUAACACGUGGGAACGUGCCUUUAGGUUCGGAAUAACUCAGGGAAACUUGUGCUAAUACCGAAUGUGCCCUUCGGGGGAAAGAUUUAUCGCCUUUAGAGCGGCCCGCGUCUGAUUAGCUAGUUGGUUGAGGUAAUGGCUCACCAAGGCGACGAUCAGUAGCUGGUCUGAGAGGAUGAUCAGCCACAUUGGGACUGAGACACGGCCCAAACUCCUACGGGAGGCAGCAGUGGGGAAUCUUGCGCAAUGGGCGAAAGCCUGACGCAGCCAUGCCGCGUGAAUGAUGAAGGUCUUAGGAUUGUAAAAUUCUUUCACCGGGGACGAUAAUGACGGUACCCGGAGAAGAAGCCCCGGCUAACUUCGUG
Molecule: ribosomal RNA, 434 nt
Filed under: uncultured bacterium
Lineage: Bacteria
Description: partial 16S ribosomal RNA
Rfam family: Bacterial small subunit ribosomal RNA
Source: RNAcentral